GACAGAGGGGGCAAGCGUUGCUCGGAAUUACUGGGCGUAAAGGGCGCGUAGGCGGAAUGGCAAGUCGGUCGUGAAAUCCUUCGGCUCAACCGAAGAACGUCGAUCGAAACUGCCGUUCUUGAGGAUUGCAGAGGAGACUGGAAUUCCCGGUGUAGCGGUGAAAUGUGUAGAGAUCCGGAGGAACACCAGUGGCGAAGGCGACACGCUGGGCCAUACCUGACGCUAAAGCGCGACAGCAUGGGGAGCAAACGGG
This 253-nucleotide ribosomal RNA is filed under the name uncultured bacterium. Its description in RNAcentral is "partial 16S ribosomal RNA". It matches the Rfam family "Bacterial small subunit ribosomal RNA", at positions 524 to 776 of the family's 1533-position model. The record is from RNAcentral.